Molecule: long non-coding RNA, 327 nt
Filed under: Gossypium barbadense (sea-island cotton)
Lineage: Eukaryota; Viridiplantae; Streptophyta; Magnoliopsida; Malvales; Malvaceae
Description: long non-coding RNA (GBAR_LNC006475)
Source: RNAcentral
UCAAGUCAUGGUUCAUACUUAUUCUAAAUAAACAAAAUUAAGUCAUGUAAGAUUAACUUGUCUUUCAACAUAGAAAACAUCAAUUAACAAUAAAGAGAAAGGGAAGAAGAGUAGUCAAGGGGGGUUAUCCGAAGCCAAUUCACAAUAAGAAGAGAAAACAAUUAAACUGUAGUGGGUUAUUUGCGACUACUCCUUGUGGCUUCCCAUGCUGGCUCUCCUCCUUGUCUUUACAUUAAAUCAUUUUUAGAAAGUUAAUUGCUUUAUUUUGUGGCAAACGAGUGUUUAACAAGCCAUGAGAAAGACAAGAACAAUCAAGAGAUUUUUCUC